CCACGGAGGUAAUCAACGACGACAUAACUGCUCCGGCACCGGCUGGGGAGCCAAUUCAACUAAAGGAGGAGUGAGUGUUCGCUCAAAUUGGUGAAAGAGGCGAGCAGCAAGAGCAUCGGCGAUGUGCCCUCGACACGGGGGCAACAAACCAUAUGAGCGAGGCCAAGUCUGCGUUAUCGGAGCUUGACUCGAGGAUUUGCGGGAUGGUGAAAUUCGGCGACGGCUCCGUCGUUGAGAUCGAAGGGCACGACACCAUCCUGUUCGUCGGCAACGGAGACAAGCACCACAAGCUGACCAGCGUCUACUUCAUCCCGAGGCUCAAGGCUGAUAUUGUGAGUCUGGGUCAACUCGAUAAGGCCGGCUGCCACAUUUCAAUCAAGUGCGGGCUACUGAGGAUCCACGAUGAUCGACAAUGGUUGCUCACGCAAGUUCGGUGCACGGCAAACUGCCUUUACAUCCUAGAGUUGGAGAUAGAGCAAUCAGUCAACCUCUCGGCCAGGUACCGGAGGAUGGAAGAUCUAUUAGGAAGAGGUGGCUGAACAAGACGUGGAGUCUGGAGGA
This is a long non-coding RNA of Cucurbita moschata (crookneck pumpkin), 561 nucleotides long. RefSeq lists it as uncharacterized. Lineage: Eukaryota; Viridiplantae; Streptophyta; Magnoliopsida; Cucurbitales; Cucurbitaceae. The record is from RefSeq and is a predicted model, not a curated record. The transcript is spliced from 3 exons.